RNAcentral lists this long non-coding RNA (707 nucleotides) under Equus caballus (horse). Its description in RNAcentral is "lncRNA (ENSECAG00000060138.1)". Lineage: Eukaryota; Metazoa; Chordata; Mammalia; Perissodactyla; Equidae. The record is from RNAcentral.
CGGAUUUAGAGAGGGCUUGGGGGUGUGUUUUGCAUGGAAAUAAUGAUACCUUGGGGAGUGUUACUCACUAAGUCAGAGAUGACAGGGGGAGUGUGAUGCACAUACUCAGAGACACAAAUGAGAUUGUGACACACGACGUCAUAGACGUCAUGGGGUGAUUUACAAAAGAAGUCAUACAUGGCAGGCAAAUGUGACACUCGAAGUCAAGGAUGCCAGGAGGAGUCUUCCACAUAAAUUCCGAGACACCAGGUUGAGAUUGACACACGGAGUCCCAGGCACCAUGGCGAUUGUGACACACAAAGAGACGCCAAGUGGUUAUUGACACAUGAAGUCAGAGACAACAGGUGAAGUGUGACAUACCAGGUCAGAGACACAGCAAGGAGUGUGACACACAAAGAGACGACAGGUGGAUUGUGGCAAACAAAUUCAGAGAUGACAGGGUGAGUGUUACACACUAAGUAAGAGACGCCACAGAGCAUGUUACAAAUGAAGUCAGAGACACCAGGGGGAGUAUUACGCAUGAAUUCAAAGACACCAUGUGGAGUGUUAUGCAUGAAGUCAAAGACACCAGGGGAGAGUAACAAACAAGUCAGACACAACAGAGGAAGUGUGACACAUGAAGUCAGAGAUCUCACAGGUGAGUGUUAAAUAAAAAGUCAAAAGACAACAGGGAGAGUUUUACUCAUGAAGAGAGAGAUGCCAUGGAG